This 574-nucleotide long non-coding RNA is filed under the name Rattus norvegicus (Norway rat). Its description in RNAcentral is "long non-coding RNA NONRATT011790". Lineage: Eukaryota; Metazoa; Chordata; Mammalia; Rodentia; Muridae. The record is from RNAcentral.
CUGCUACUGAGUCCCCGAAGCAAGGCCUCGGUGACGGCUAGAGGCGGUGGAGACGACGGGGAAAAGAAUUCAGGACUCAAAUCAACCGGACCGGGUUUGGAAGAGAUUAGUCAAUCAAGAAGCCGCCCGGAAAAGAACUCAAAAGGCAAAAAUGAGAGGUGGGAAGGGAAAGAGUUCUUCAGAUCCUCCAGUGCCCAACUUCCUUAGAAGCCAGGUGAGCAACGAGACUCGCACCGCCCCUGCCUCCUCCACCCGCCCCAACUCACUCCGGGCCUAAGCAGCCGCCCGAGACCUCACUUACCCUCGGCGCCUGGCGGGUGCUUUGGCCUCGGGCCGCCUCCGCCUCUCCCGCUCCCAACGGCCCACGGGCGGACGCGGGAGCCCCGCGCGAGAGAACAGUGCCGACCGGUGCGCCAAGAGAGGCGAGGGGCUGUGCUGCCGUCACAGUCCGCCGCUCCGCUUCGGUAAAUAGGAAGCCCGGUCGAGGGGGGGGGGGGUGAGCGGCGGCCCCGCAACUUCCCUCCCCACCUCGGGCGCGCCGGCCGGACAGGGCCUAGGCCUCCCUGGCGGCCGC